This 501-nucleotide ribosomal RNA is filed under the name uncultured bacterium. RNAcentral's name for it is "bacterial SSU rRNA". It matches the Rfam family "Bacterial small subunit ribosomal RNA", at positions 30 to 524 of the family's 1533-position model. The record is from RNAcentral.
UGAACGCUGGCGGCAGGCUUAACACAUGCAAGUCGAGCCGGGGAAAGGUAGCUUGCUACCUAACCUAGCGGCGGACGGGUGAGUAAUGCUUAGGAAUCUGCCUAUUAGUGGGGGACAACAUUCUGAAAGGAAUGCUAAUACCGCAUACGCCCUACGGGGGAAAGCAGGGGAUCUUCGGACCUUGCGCUAAUAGAUGAGCCUAAGUCAGAUUAGCUAGUUGGUGGGGUAAAGGCCUACCAGGGCGACGAUCUGUAGCGGGUCUGAGAGGAUGAUCCGCCACACUGGGACUGAGACACGGCCCAGACUCCUACGGGAGGCAGCAGUGGGGAAUAUUGGACAAUGGGCGAAAGCCUGAUCCAGCCAUGCCGCGUGUGUGAAGAAGGCCUUUUGGUUGUAAAGCACUUUAAGCGAGGAGGAGGCUACUUGGAUUAAUACUCUUGGAUAGUGGACGUUACUCGCAGAAUAAGCACCGGCUAACUCUGUGCCAGCAGCCGCGGUAAU